This 513-nucleotide ribosomal RNA is filed under the name Escherichia coli. RNAcentral describes it as "partial 23S ribosomal RNA". It matches the Rfam family "Bacterial large subunit ribosomal RNA", at positions 2137 to 2649 of the family's 2925-position model. Lineage: Bacteria; Pseudomonadati; Pseudomonadota; Gammaproteobacteria; Enterobacterales; Enterobacteriaceae. The record is from RNAcentral.
UGUAGGAUAGGUGGGAGGCUUUGAAGUGUGGACGCCAGUCUGCAUGGAGCCGACCUUGAAAUACCACCCUUUAAUGUUUGAUGUUCUAACGUUGGCCCCUAAUCGGGGUUGCGGACAGUGUCUGGUGGGUAGUUUGACUGGGGCGGUCUCCUCCUAAAGAGUAACGGAGGAGCACGAAGGUUGGCUAAUCCUGGUCGGACAUCAGGAGGUUAGUGCAAUGGCAUAAGCCAGCUUGACUGCGAGCGUGACGGCGCGAGCAGGUGCGAAAGCAGGUCAUAGUGAUCCGGUGGUUCUGAAUGGAAGGGCCAUCGCUCAACGGAUAAAAGGUACUCCGGGGAUAACAGGCUGAUACCGCCCAAGAGUUCAUAUCGACGGCGGUGUUUGGCACCUCGAUGUCGGCUCAUCACAUCCUGGGGCUGAAGUAGGUCCCAAGGGUAUGGCUGUUCGCCAUUUAAAGUGGUACGCGAGCUGGGUUUAGAACGUCGUGAGACAGUUCGGUCCCUAUCUGCCGUG